CGACGGGUGAGUAACACGUAUGCAAUCCACCUGUAACAGGGGAGUAACCCGGAGAAAUCCGACUAAUACCCAUAAUAUGGGCGCUCCGCAUGGAGAGUCCAUUAAAGAGAGCAAUCUUGGUUACAGACGAGCAUGCGCUCCAUUAGCCAGUUGGCGGGGUAACGGCCCACCAAGGCGACGAUGGAUAGGGGUUCUGAGAGGAAGGUCCCCCACAUUGGAACUGAGACACGGUCCAA
This 236-nucleotide ribosomal RNA is filed under the name uncultured bacterium. RNAcentral's name for it is "partial 16S ribosomal RNA". It matches the Rfam family "Bacterial small subunit ribosomal RNA", at positions 102 to 334 of the family's 1533-position model. The record is from RNAcentral.